AUCUAAUUUAUUUCUCACUUGGUUGUUGUCAUUAGUAAGAUCCUACAUAAAAAAGCAUUGAGAGUUUUAGGAGGCAUUUAGUAAUGUUAGCUCCUUUCUACUUGUACUGUAGUAAUGCAUUCUUUAGGAUCAAGUUCCCCCGACAGUGAGUUGUCUGAAAUGAAGAAAGCUAAAGUCAUUCCAACAUUCCAAGUCAUUAUGUAGGAAAGCCUCAGUGCCUGGAGAAGCUAGACCUGGCAGGUGGUAGAUGCUCACUAAAUGCACAUUUAUUAAUGAUUUUAUGGGAUUUUACUUCAUUGGGGAGAGGGGAACCCCUGUAGGUUGGCCUGUGAGACCUGUGAGUGAGUGGUCUCUUAGUUUGCCCAUUUGCAGAGUUGGCUUUGUCUGCUUAUUAUUCUCCCAAUUAUGAAGGAUUGGCGAGAUGAUCAAAUGUCAUUAGUAAAUUACAAAUAAGAGGUUGGUGCUUGUAGGGCUGUUAAGUCAGCCUGGCUGCUGAGAGCCAUUUAGUGUCUUGGAAUGGGCAAUUUGUUAAAUGACACAUAAGAAAGUUGAAAGAAUUAAUGUUCCUCUCCAAGGAGCAAUUUAUUCCUUUUUUUUUUUAAUUCAUUCAGCCUAAAUAUUUAUUCACAGCCUUGGGUUCCUUGUAAGAGAGAAGCUAUAAAAAACAAUAUGAUCAUCUUCUCUUUAUUUUCUUAUUUAGAGCCAUAAGACCCGAGGAAGAAGCAUAAUAGGCAGGAUGGAUAGUAGCACCCCUAGAGGAAUUCUGUGGGUAAUAGAAGCUGCCAAACUGAAUACAAGAAAUCACACAUGACACGUACAGCAUUGGGAAAAUAUUUGAAUCUGCAUAGAAGUUUGUCAGAUGCAUGAUGGCUAAACCUGCUAUACUUUUCCUAAUGAAGAUUGUUCCAGGCUUCAUGGAUGAAGAGCAAACAGGACAGAGUUCUGUUCAUCUUGGGCUUAUCCACAUGCCAAAUCCUGGCUUCCAGCCUUAUCCCUCUGUUCCAACUCCCUUAUUGUCUCCACUUUGGCAUCUUCUUAAUGAAUAGCUAUUUAAAAACCAACCAGAAAGGACACGCAAGUCUCGAAUCAAGGCAACUUGUUGAUGGAAGAAGACACACUAUCAGAAGAGGAGUGUCAAGGAGUAGAAUUGCUGAAGAUGGAACAUACAAAGCACCCAGAUGGAUUUGUGGUGGCUUGAGGACAAGGUUUCAGCAGGAGAUUAUACUAAUCACCGACUCGAUGGGCCUGUGAGCUUGAGUUCUACGUAGGUGUGCAGUCAUGCCAAUUUGCUAAGAAUGCACAAGCAUGCUACGAUGGUGAUGAUGGUCCCUGGAGUAGUGAAACAUGACAGUCCUGUGGGUUCAUGCUACCUGGAGGAGGGAGAAUGGUACCAUUCCCUUUAUAUUUUUAUGUAUUUCAUUUGUUUGUCUUACCUAAUUGUGUUGGCUAGUUCCUCCAGAACAAUAUAAUAAUGACAGUGGAAUCAUUUGAUGUGUUUACCUUAUUCUUGACUUCAGUGGGGACAGUGCCACUAUUGUUUCCUUUAAAGCAUGAUCAUGUUCAAGAUAUAUUGAGUUCUUUCUACUUAUUUUAAGUUUUUUCUUGUUUUUAACCAGGGGUAGGGGAGAAUUUUGAGUAUAGUUUAGUUUGAAACCAUAGGUAUCACCAUGCAAGAAAGGCAACUGUAUAUAUAGAAAAAGAAAAGGACCAGGAGUUCAACCUGAGGAAACACCUGUAAUUUAAAGGUGGAAGGAGAAAGGAAAUAAAGAAGCAAUGGGAGGAGAGUCCA
Molecule: long non-coding RNA, 1789 nt
Filed under: Vulpes vulpes (red fox)
Lineage: Eukaryota; Metazoa; Chordata; Mammalia; Carnivora; Canidae
Description: lncRNA (ENSVVUG00000005433.1)
Source: RNAcentral